Pongo abelii (Sumatran orangutan) is the source of this 296-nucleotide unclassified non-coding RNA. It matches the Rfam family "Metazoan signal recognition particle RNA". From Rfam's summary of the family: The signal recognition particle (SRP) is a universally conserved ribonucleoprotein. It is involved in the co-translational targeting of proteins to membranes. The eukaryotic SRP consists of a 300-nucleotide 7S RNA and six proteins: SRPs 72, 68, 54, 19, 14, and 9. NCBI's taxonomy places the organism in Eukaryota, Metazoa, Chordata, Mammalia, Primates, Hominidae. The record is from Ensembl.
ACCACGAUGGCACAUGUCUGUAGUCCCAGCUACUCCGGAGGUUGAGGUGGGAGUAUCGCUUGAGACCAAGAGUUCUGGGCUGUAGAGCGCUAGGCUGAUAGGGUGUCUAUCCUAAGUUUGGCAUCAAUGUGUUGAUCUCCUGAGAGUGAUGGACCACCAGUUUGCUGAAGAAGAGCUGAACCAGCCCAGGUUGAGAAUAGAGCACAUCAAAACUCCUGUGCUGAUCAGUAGUGGAAUUGUGCUUUUGAAUAGCCACUGUACUCAAGCCAGAGCUACAUAGUGAGACUUGGUCUCUA